Non-coding RNA from Macaca mulatta (Rhesus monkey), 1183 nucleotides. Lineage: Eukaryota; Metazoa; Chordata; Mammalia; Primates; Cercopithecidae. The record is from RefSeq and is a predicted model, not a curated record.
UAUUGUUGCAGAAGAUGCGUUGGAAUUAAAAGACCAACAGGAUCCUUAGUGUAUCUACGACUUCUAAUGACCUGGAUGGUUAGUUCCCACUUUGUCCGUCCUCUUAUCCUAUUCCUACCCACCACAAUCCUUUGAGACAUCAGCAAAUACUAGGCCACCAACAUUGAAGAGGCAUGUACAAAUGUGGCACAGUAUCAGAGGAAGAGGAGCCAAUGCAGAGAGGUCAUCUGAUUGUUCUCGCAACUUUUCUCAACUGCCUGAUAGAAGUAUUCUGUAAGAUUCUGAGCCCAGCUGACACCACGUAUCAAUUGGAUAAUUGUAGAAUCUGAGGCAAAUUUCUUCACUGUCAUUGUCCCAAUGAUUAUUAUCAGUCAUUAAUUUCCCAAAUCUAUAUAACUUUCUCAGACCUUUCGCUGAGCUUCAGAUGCUCAAAUGCCUGUUGAGUAUCUCUGCCUGAUUAUCUUACAGAGACCUCAAAAGCAGGACUUUUUCCCAAUGCGGCGUUCCAUUUACAGCAGUGCUGUUCACCCACUAACAAAUCAAAAACUGAAGAGAUUUGUGUCUUAAUCCAUUUGGGCUGCUAUAACAAAAUAUUACAAACUGGAUAAUUUAUUCACAGUAGAAAUUUGUUUCUCACAUUACUGGAGACUGGGAAGUCCAAAAUCAAGAUGCUGACAAGUUUCGUGUCUGGUAAAGGACAAAUCUCUACUCUAAGGUGGCACCUAGAAUACUCUGUCCUCACCUGGCAGAAGGUGGAGGAGCAAAAAGAGGCCUAGUUAGUUCCAUUCCACACUUUUAAUAAGACUUUCCAUGAAGUUGGAGCCCUAAAUGCCCAAUCACCUUCUAAAGGACGCAUCUCUUCCUACUGUUGCAUGGGAAGUUAAAGUCCAACGUGAAUUUUGGAGGACACACAAACAUUCGAACAAUAGCAAGAUCUUAGCUGCUUCUUUCUCGGUCCCCAAACCUACAGAAGUAAUUACUUAUUUUUCACUUCCUUGGAGCACACCUGUCUCUAAUGCUACCUUCUCUUACCCAGCUAUCACUUCCUAAGGUUUAGAAAAGCAGAGGAUUAAGUUGUCUGGAUUUUCUAGAAAAUAACAGGUAAUUAGAAUGUGAAUGGGGCUCUCUGGAUUCUCCCACGGUUUUGUAGUACAGCUUACAACAAUAAAUUUAGUCAUGUUCA